Molecule: long non-coding RNA, 342 nt
Filed under: Hordeum vulgare
Lineage: Eukaryota; Viridiplantae; Streptophyta; Magnoliopsida; Poales; Poaceae
Description: long non-coding RNA (HVUL_LNC007995)
Source: RNAcentral
CUUGAAGAAAUGCAUAUCGAUGGUGGAAAUGCAAAGUUGUGGGAGCACAUGAAUAGCAAGAUCCAAACAUGGAUAGACAAUUCAUGCAAAAGAAAUAAGCCAGGAGCGCCAAGUUUUGUGGUAUUACCCACUUUAGAGGGAGUACUUUUCUGUAGUGGUGGUUCUCACUUUCAAUAAUAGUCACCGUACAUACGGAAGCUAUUGUGUCAACCUAUGUAUUGUAUCGUAGGAUAUGUUCUCCGAUCAAUCUUGGGGAUGACCCGAGAGGUUGAGCAAACGAUAAGGAGGUGAACAGAUGGCUAUUCGAGAUCAACUUUUGCUCUGAUAGGUUUUUUUUUUUUU